UGAAGAUGUGCUGAGAUGUGCUGAUGAUUGUCAUGUAUUUUGAAUAAAAAGACUGAGAUGGCAGACACAAGAAGAUUAUGCAUGGACGAGCCCUCUCCCAAGCUUGUUUAAGAUCUACUCUGAGCUGUAGCUUGAGUGAAUGUGUGCCACUUGAGUGCUAAGAUCUUCAGACGCCCUCCUCUGACCCGUGGCCAGGAAGCUGCUGAAGUGGCAUGUACUUGCAGCGUCUGACACCUACGGCGAAGACAAACCAGGAGCACACCACGUUUGGCAAAGAGAUGAUGAGACUGCAGGUUUAAGAAGUCAUGGGGUCCCUCUGUGCAAACACUAGUAGACCACUGCUCAGACAGAGCUCCCACAAGGGAGCACAAGGGACUCUUGGCCAGAACUCCCUGAAAGAAGAGCCACUGUGAU
Molecule: long non-coding RNA, 414 nt
Organism: Engraulis encrasicolus (European anchovy)
Lineage: Eukaryota; Metazoa; Chordata; Actinopteri; Clupeiformes; Engraulidae
Exons: 3
Source: RefSeq, a predicted model, not a curated record